MicroRNA precursor from Homo sapiens (human), 88 nucleotides. The record is from Ensembl. NCBI's taxonomy places the organism in Eukaryota, Metazoa, Chordata, Mammalia, Primates, Hominidae.
ACUUGAUCCCAUGUGAUUGACGGCUGACUCCAUGUGAGUGAAGCCUGAUCAUCAUGUGAGUGAAGCCUGAUCAUCAUGUGAGUGAAGC